CCAAAAAAACGAGAGAUGAAUGGUCCUCCGCAAGGAGGAUUUGCUCGAAUCCAGGAGACAAUGAAAACAAGAAUGGGAAGAUACUUUCAAGACCGUACCGAGAUCCGACACUGGUGCCCUAGAUUAGUAGUCUAAGGUCUAUCGGGUAUACCGUAUGGCGAGGGAACUCGGCAAAAUAGCUCCGUACCUAUGGUAUAAGGAGUGCCUGCAGUUUUCAUGAAGAAUGGGAACCGCAGGUCGCAGUGACAAGGGGGUCCCGACUGUUUAAUAAAAACACAGGUGGUCGCUAGUCCGAAAGGAUGUGUACGGCCUCUGUAUCCAGGCCAGUGGCGGUACCUAAAACCUGGGUUCAACUGGGCUAAGGGCCGCUAAACGCCGGGAGUAACUCUGACUCUCUUAAGGUAGCCAAAUGCCUUGUCGGGUAAGUUCCGACGUGCAUGAAUGGAACAACGAGGACCCCGCUGUCCCCGCCUACAACCCGGUGAAGCCACAUAACGUGGACGAACAGUCCACGAACCUCUGUCGGGGAGAGAAGACCCUGUGGAGCUUUACUGCAGCCUGUUGUUGCUGUAUGGUUGCGAAUGCAGAGAGUAGCUGGGAGCCUUCGAAGUCAGUCCUCCGGGAUUGAUGGAGGCAACGUUGUAACACCAGCCAUUUGCUACCGUACGGCUAACCCGUUUUUACGGGGACAUCGGCAGGUGGGCAGUUCGGCUGGGGCGGCACCCCCUUGAAAAGGUAUCGAGGGGGCCCAAAGAUUGGCUCAAGCGGGACAGAACUCCGCUGUUGAGGGCAAAGCCAGAAGCCAGUCUGACUGGAUCUCCAAUGAUACGAGAUUCAGAGGCGAAAGCCGGGCUUAGCGAUCCAUCAUGUCCCCACUAUUGGGGGCUGGUGGUGACAGAAAAGUUACCCUAGGGAUAACAGGCUCGUCGCGGGCGAGAGCUCCUAUCGACCCCGCGGUUUGGUACCUCGAUGUCGGCUCUUCCCAUCCUGGUUCUGCAGCAGGAGCCAAGGGUGGGGCUGCUCGCCCAUUAAAGGGGAACGCGAGCUGGGUUUAGACCGUCGUGAGACAGGUCGGUCUCUGCCUGACAGGGGUGUAGUUGUUUGAGGGGAAGUUGCCCAUAGUACGAGAGGAACAGGGCAGCGCAGCCUCUGGUUUAUCAGUUGUCCGACAGGGCAGGCUGAGCCGCUAAGCUGUUUAGGAUAACUCCUGAAAGCAUCUAAGGAGGAAACCUUUCCCGAGAAAAGACAACCUUCUGUAAGGAGAAGGGCAGCUAUAGAAGAUAGCGUUGAUAGAAUGGAGGUGUACGCAUCGAGCUUUCUGCGAGGUGUUCAGCCUGCCAUUACUAAUAGCCCAACC
RNAcentral lists this ribosomal RNA (1357 nucleotides) under metagenome. Its description in RNAcentral is "bacterial LSU rRNA". It matches the Rfam family "Archaeal large subunit ribosomal RNA", at positions 1645 to 2975 of the family's 2987-position model. The record is from RNAcentral.